GCAAGGGUGGCAGAGUGGUCAAAUGCACCGGACUGUAAAUCCGGCGCCUUCGGGCUACAGAGGUUCAAAUCCUCUCCCUUGCA
Molecule: transfer RNA, 83 nt
Filed under: bacterium
Lineage: Bacteria
Description: tRNA-Tyr
Rfam family: tRNA
About the family: Transfer RNA (tRNA) molecules are approximately 80 nucleotides in length. Their secondary structure includes four short double-helical elements and three loops (D, anti-codon, and T loops).
Source: RNAcentral